RNAcentral lists this transfer-messenger RNA (201 nucleotides) under Planktomarina temperata. Its description in RNAcentral is "partial transfer-messenger RNA". It matches the Rfam family "Alphaproteobacteria transfer-messenger RNA", at positions 1 to 207 of the family's 355-position model. From Rfam's summary of the family: Bacterial tmRNA, also known as 10Sa RNA or SsrA, is named for its dual tRNA and mRNA-like properties. Lineage: Bacteria; Pseudomonadati; Pseudomonadota; Alphaproteobacteria; Rhodobacterales; Paracoccaceae. The record is from RNAcentral.
CCCCUUUUAAUUGCGCGCAAAGCGCAUUACAUCUGAUCUGUCCCUCGGGACUAUGGUCAUAAACGCGCUCGUAAUAAACGGAUCGGACCCGGGGGCGGUACCCGGCAGCUCCACCAAACCUCCCUCAUUUGGGGACAGAUGGGGCUGAAAUAGGAUCGACGGACGUCUAAAGGGGUUAGCUUUGGCUCGGUGAGAUACCAC